UUUGACGUUCGGAUGUAACAUCCGGGGUCUUUGGAGCCGGGAAGUGUGUGCGGACGUGGCAGAAACCUGAGAACUGCAGGGACACAGGCUGAAUGUUGUACUGGUGCUUCCGGUGUUAGGCGCUAUUGGUAGUUACGGAAUAUUCAACAGGAUUGUAAUCAAACCCGUGAGCUAGUCUAAUUGGACGGGUGUGUACAGUAGGAUUGAAAUAAGCUUAGAAUUUUU
This is a long non-coding RNA of Protopterus annectens (West African lungfish), 225 nucleotides long. RefSeq lists it as uncharacterized. Lineage: Eukaryota; Metazoa; Chordata; Ceratodontiformes; Protopteridae. The record is from RefSeq and is a predicted model, not a curated record. The transcript has 3 exons.